Vicugna pacos (alpaca) is the source of this 2228-nucleotide non-coding RNA. NCBI's taxonomy places the organism in Eukaryota, Metazoa, Chordata, Mammalia, Artiodactyla, Camelidae. The record is from RefSeq and is a predicted model, not a curated record.
CUCCUGUCAUGAGGGUCAGGCAAUUCUGUGAACAGCACCAAAGGCGGGCCCUGAAGGGGAAGGCCCCCUUCCAGGUGUGGGCGGGGCCAGAAGGGGAAGCAACUGGAAUUUCCAGCACGGCAGUGGCGCGAGCUGCGCUUGCAGAGGCGGGGCCAACCCCGGCGACGUACCAGCCGCAGAGUGGGAGGCCGGACCCAGUGCGGAGUUUGACAGUGGACCCCGUCUCUUCGUGGGAGGAGGACCGCAAGUUCGUCCUGCGGGGCUGGUGUCUUGUCUUCAGCAUUCUGGCGACCCUGAUGGUGCUCAGCGUGUUGGAUGGGCGUAUGGCCUACUUGCAGGGCUCCUACACGGGCUACCUGGGCUUCUGGACUGACUGCAGGAAGCACAAGUGUGUCAGCCUGGGCCAAGUCACCGUUCUCAUCCACAUGAGCAUGGGCUUCAUGAUGCUGGCCCUGGUCCUGUGUCUAGUCCUCCUCCCCACCAUGAGCCUCUCCUUCCGGCCAGUGUUCCGCCGCCUUAACAAGGCUGACCUUGUCUUCAGUUCCCUCAGCUUAAGCAUUGAAACUUGACUAAGGAAAGGAGAGUUUUUGCCUUUUGCCACAGUUACCAGGAAGCCCAGAACUUGUAGAUUAAGAACAUGGAGUCACCCUUGAUCACCUAGUGUGUGCUGCAUCCUUUCACCGGAGGUCAGAGAGUCCUUUUCCCAGGGCCACGCACUAUUGAAUCAGUUCAUUAUGCAUCAUCUCAUUUAGUCGUCCCCACAGCCCUAUGGGGUGCCAUGAUCAACUAGCCAAUGCUUGAGUCUCUGUGACCAUGUGAUCAGAUGAUUCCGGUUACUGCUUUGACUCUGAUGUCUAGUGCAGCAACCACAUCCACGUGUCUUGGUGAUUAGGUGCUACCACUUGGCCCCCUAACACCACAGGACCCAAUUAUCUCCAUUGCACUUAGGUUUCCCAUUCAGUAGCCUCUCUUCCUACUGUACUUUCUGACCUACAGAGAAGAGCGAUCACAGAACUCUCCAAGGAUGCUGGCUCCCCUUGAAAAUUUAUUUGUCAUAAUUGUGAUGAAAAAUGUGUCUCUGGAGCCCCCAGCAUGGGCGAGCAGGUCUCAAAUAUAUAUUUGUUGUAACAUCCCAUCUCCUGAAGUCUUUGGGUUUCUUUCUCCAUAGUUUAUCAAGAUGGUUCUACCAUUUCAACUUCAUCUAGUGCAGGGCCACCUUUUGAUCCAUAUUUCAGCCAACAAAACAAAUAACCAGAGACCUUCUGACCCCUCAAUCUGCAAGAUGAAAUCCAGAAUUUCUGCUUAGUGAGCCCUUAUCAAUAAAUUCCAAUCAGGUGUGGGUGCUGGGUGUAGCUCGGUAGUAGAGUGCAUGACCAGCAUGCACAAGGUCAUGGGUUCAAUCCCCAGCAUCUCCAUUAAAAAAAAGAAAAAAAGACUGAGCCUUGCUGCUUUGACUUUGCAGAAAUUGGACAACACCCACAGAAUCAGUUUCUCUUAACCUCCCGAGUGUAUCUCCUUCCUUUGGGACCCUGUGGCCCUCCUGAUUAAUGCUCCCAUUUCCCAGAUGGUGAAACUGAGGCCCAAGAAGGAAAAGCUAUUUGCUAGAAUCCCUUGGAGGGAAUGGAAGCAAGGAGGACAGUUUGAACAGAGCACGUGCUUCUCUAAGACUUUAUUUCUGGGCUUAGGGGAAGGGACAAAAAAGGGGAAAAACCAACUUUCUCUACCAAUGGGAAGGCGGGGUCAACAUUGUGCCACUAGGGGGCACUGUGUACAGGAAAAGGUUCUAGGGGGGCCUGGACUCCUGGGGCUGAGAGAGGAGGGACCUGGGGGUCUAGACUCCUGGAACAGAGGGAGGAAGGCACUGGGAACCCAAACUCCUGAAUUCCUUCAGCAGCAUAUAUUUGGGGGUUUCAGUUUCAUGGGUCCCAGUCCCAGGAGUUAACUGGCCUGGAUGGUUUUCUGUAUCCAGUCCGUGAAGUUGCAGAGGUUGGUGUAGACGCCGGGCACGGAGGGUUGGCCACACGGGGCUUGUCCAAAGGACACGAGGCCCUGCAGGUACCCAUUGCAGACCAGGGGACCCCCAGAGUCACCCUGUUGUGGAGAGACGGAGAAUGAGAAUCCAAAACACAGAGAGGUGGAGAUAAACGUGAGCUCAGAGAGGAACCAAAUGAGGAGAGACAAAGACAGGAAAGAAAGAAAGAAAAAAAAAAAGAAUAGCAACAUGUCCC